CGCAGUCCUGCAAAGGGCGAGCAGGGAUGAACAGAGACCCCCCCUCCCCCCCAAAGGUCGGGCGCUAAAUUUACCCCGGGCCCCGGCUCCGGUUACUCCGCGGCGCGGCAGGAGAAGGUCACAUUCCCCGGGAGGACACGCGAUACCACUGCGCCCUUCCCGGGGCGGAGGCAGGAGCCCGGCAUGCAGCGGCGCUUCCCGCUCGGGUGCACAGGAAGGCACAGGACACAACACCAGGUUGCAGAGAUCUAGCUGAAGAGGGAAUCAUUCAGAAGAUGGGGCACUACUAUAGGGUAUGCAGGCGAGAGUCAGUUUGGCCAGGGCCUGUUUACUGAGUAAACAGAAGAUCCUAAAUGG
Molecule: long non-coding RNA, 357 nt
Organism: Chelonoidis abingdonii (Abingdon island giant tortoise)
Lineage: Eukaryota; Metazoa; Chordata; Testudines; Testudinidae
Source: RefSeq, a predicted model, not a curated record